UCUUUUGUGAAAUAUCAAGGAAGUUUUAAGUGAAUUUUGGAGCCUGAUGUUAAUAGAUCAUGCAUGCACUAACCAUUUUUAAAUGGAUUCUUAUUACUUAUUUUAAUUGUUUGGAGAAUAAUAAUCUGCAGGACCUAAGAAGAUGAGGCGCUGACUACAAAGUGAUGUCUUUUCUGCAAGGAAUGGGCCUGCGUAAACGCGGAGAGGAGUAUCGUGAGGAGUGCGAGCAUGCCGUAAACCUCGCAUGUUUGUUGUUAUUGUUUAUAGCUCAAUUGUGUGUCCUGUUUUACGGUUUGUUUUUUUUUAAGUUUUACUAGUGUGUUAGCAGAGUUUGUCGUCUUUGUGCUGUCUUUAUUCUUUGGU
Molecule: long non-coding RNA, 363 nt
Organism: Electrophorus electricus (electric eel)
Lineage: Eukaryota; Metazoa; Chordata; Actinopteri; Gymnotiformes; Gymnotidae
Source: RefSeq, a predicted model, not a curated record